This 576-nucleotide ribosomal RNA is filed under the name bacterium. RNAcentral describes it as "bacterial SSU rRNA". It matches the Rfam family "Bacterial small subunit ribosomal RNA", at positions 141 to 732 of the family's 1533-position model. The record is from RNAcentral.
GGAUAAGCGCUGGAAACGGCGUCUAAUACUGGAUAUGUGACGUGACCGCAUGGUCUGCGUCUGGAAAGAAUUUCGGUUGGGGAUGGGCUCGCGGCCUAUCAGCUUGUUGGUGAGGUAAUGGCUCACCAAGGCGUCGACGGGUAGCCGGCCUGAGAGGGUGACCGGCCACACUGGGACUGAGACACGGCCCAGACUCCUACGGGAGGCAGCAGUGGGGAAUAUUGCACAAUGGGCGCAAGCCUGAUGCAGCAACGCCGCGUGAGGGACGACGGCCUUCGGGUUGUAAACCUCUUUUAGCAGGGAAGAAGCGAAAGUGACGGUACCUGCAGAAAAAGCGCCGGCUAACUACGUGCCAGCAGCCGCGGUAAUACGUAGGGCGCAAGCGUUAUCCGGAAUUAUUGGGCGUAAAGAGCUCGUAGGCGGUUUGUCGCGUCUGCUGUGAAAUCCGGAGGCUCAACCUCCGGCCUGCAGUGGGUACGGGCAGACUAGAGUGCGGUAGGGGAGAUUGGAAUUCCUGGUGUAGCGGUGGAAUGCGCAGAUAUCAGAGGAACACCGAUGGCGAAAGCAGAUCUCUGG